UAAAGAUGGUGUUGUGCCAACCAUUUUCAGCUUUCCAGCUCAUCUUCAAAGGUCGAUAGCAACAAGAAGCACAACCACUUCUAGAAGAGCGGAAGAUAACCUGCCAAUGGACUUGAUGUCUGAUGUUGGAGCCACUGGAGAGAGGAGAUUGGGCCGCAAGCGGCAGGCCACUGACCACUUGUAUGCAUUGCCUGCUUGUCCUAAGGCUAUAAAGUCC
Long non-coding RNA from Scomber scombrus (Atlantic mackerel), 217 nucleotides. RefSeq lists it as uncharacterized. The record is from RefSeq and is a predicted model, not a curated record. NCBI's taxonomy places the organism in Eukaryota, Metazoa, Chordata, Actinopteri, Scombriformes, Scombridae. The transcript is spliced from 3 exons.